Molecule: long non-coding RNA, 1551 nt
Organism: Oncorhynchus gorbuscha (pink salmon)
Lineage: Eukaryota; Metazoa; Chordata; Actinopteri; Salmoniformes; Salmonidae
Exons: 2
Source: RefSeq, a predicted model, not a curated record
CAAGGACAACAACCAACCGAGCCACUGCCUGUUCAUCCGCCCAUCAGCCAGAACACGAGUUUUCUUGAUCAUUCCGUGACCCACCCGCUGCAGCGCCGUCGUUCAGCAGCAGAUGAUGCGCUUUCAGCCACUGACUUGUAAUUACCAGUCGUUAUCACUCACCUCUGUCAUCAAAUGCUAGCCACUAACUGAGUUCUGACUGGUUGAAAAACAAACACAGUGAUGAGUUUCUCUCUCUUUCAUACAAACUUUGAAUAAUAACGAGGAGCACCCACAAGGUGUUUUGUACCAGGAAGUGCUUAAUAUUGACUCUCUCAAAAUGUUUUAAAAAAAACAUACACAGCAUGAUGGUAAACCCAGGGAGUUUGUUCAGAACAGGGACGAGUGCUUCAGGAAUCAGUGCUUCGACGGUGGAAAAGUAAGUCAGCUAGCAAGGCGUUGUUGUCAUUUGUUAACAAAGAUUAAAAGCAGAAAUAAGGGAGUAUUAUCUCUCAGUGGUAGAUGUGAGUUUCUCUUUCAAACAAUCCCAUGGCCUUGUACACAGCUAAUAGCUAACGUUAGCCAAAGCAAGCUAGCUCGCUACUUUUGUGCAAUCCUAAAUAAUAGUAGAGAUGAAGAUGAAAUGAAAUGAUUGUUGAAAACAAGUUUAGGUUGGAACUGUUAUUCUGAACCGGAAUAAACUGAUUGAAGCAAGAUGCUUUUUGAAGCAAACACACAGUUCUGGGUUGCUCAUCUACAGCAGGAAGCGGUCUCCUGCCUGACUGAGAAAGCAGUAGAUGUUCUGAUCCAGUUUGGCACCACAUACCUAUGCGAGUCAGGGUUCUCAACUCUGACAAACUAAAAAAAACAAGUACAAAAACAGCCUCGAUGCUGAGCAUGACCUUAGUGUUACACUGUCAAAAACUGAGCCCAGAAUAGACAUGCUUGUUGAAAACUUCAACCAGCCACACAGCUCUCAUUACGACUGUGUGUGUGUGUUCUGUUAUACAUUGUGUGAUAUGAUCAAAUUAGUUUAUUCCAGUUUAGAAUAAAAAUUAUUUACUGUAUUUUAACAGCAACAGUUCCAACCUAGACAGAUAUGUAAGAGUGUUUUAAUGGGGUAAAAUAAACAUGAAUAGAUAUGUAUAUGGGUAUUUCAUUGAAUUGUAAUUUAUUUUUGUCUAUAUUACAUAUGUUUUAGGCAUACAGGAAAUGAAAUGUACCGAUAUUGUCACGAGUCCGACCGAGGGUGGUUUCCCUUGCCGGUCGGGUGGCGCUCGGCGGUCGUCGUCACCGGCCUAUUAGCUGCCACUGAUUGUCUUUCCUCCCCCUCCUUGUAUGUUCAUUGGUAGCACCUGUUUGUGAUGAUUAGUUUGUCUUUAUUAAACAGCCGGCCCGUCUGGUUGUUGUGCGGGAUUAUUCAUUGUAACCUUCGGCUCUGUAGUAGAGGAACGUGUUAGUUCCUGGUCGUGCAUUUUUCAGUAGUCAUUUUUUAAUUCCCUGUGUUUUGGGGCUGUUAUUAUUGUGAGCACCCUGUGGUGCGUUGGUGCAAUUAAAGAGCACAGCAUUGUA